GCUCCAAUAGCGUAUAUUAAAGUUGUUGCAGUUAAAAAGCUCGUAGUUGGAUUUCUGGUGGGAGCGUCCGGUCUCACACUCAGUGCGGGAACUUGGAUGUCUCCGGCCAUCUUUGGGGAUAGCCUUCUUGGCAUUAAGUUGUCGGGUAGGGGAUACCAUCGUUUACUGUGAAAAAAUUAGAGUGUUUAAAGCAGGCUUAU
This 200-nucleotide ribosomal RNA is filed under the name uncultured eukaryote. RNAcentral's name for it is "partial 18S ribosomal RNA". It matches the Rfam family "Eukaryotic small subunit ribosomal RNA", at positions 588 to 789 of the family's 1831-position model. The record is from RNAcentral.